This 594-nucleotide ribosomal RNA is filed under the name Nanorana chayuensis (Chayu spiny frog). Its description in RNAcentral is "partial 16S ribosomal RNA". It matches the Rfam family "Bacterial large subunit ribosomal RNA", at positions 1797 to 2619 of the family's 2925-position model. Lineage: Eukaryota; Metazoa; Chordata; Amphibia; Anura; Dicroglossidae. The record is from RNAcentral.
CGCCUGUUUACCAAAAACAUCGCCUCUUGAUAAAUUAUAAGAGGUCCAGCCUGCCCAGUGACAUAGUUAAACGGCCGCGGUAUCUUGACCGUGCGAAGGUAGCAUAAUCACUUGUUCUUUAAAUAGGGACUAGUAUCAACGGCAUCACGAGGGUUAUACUGUCUCCUCUCUCCAAUCAGUGAAACUGAUUUCCCCGUGAAGAAGCGGGGAUAAACCUAUAAGACGAGAAGACCCCAUGGAGCUUUAAACUCAACAACAACCUCCCCUACAAAAUUCUACAUACUCCGGAGAUUCUGUUUGUUAGUUUUGGGUUGGGGUGACCGCGGAGAAAAAUUAAACCUCCACGAUGAACGGAAUUAACUCCUAAUCUAAGAGCCGCCGCUCUAAGAAUCAAUAAAUUGACAUAAAAUGAUCCGAUAAUCGAUCAACGAACCAAGUUACCCUGGGGAUAACAGCGCAAUCCAUUUCAAGAGCUCCUAUCGACAAAUGGGUUUACGACCUCGAUGUUGGAUCAGGGUAUCCCAGUGGUGCAGCCGCUACUAAAGGUUUGUUUGUUCAACAAUUAAAACCCUACGUGAUCUGAGUUCAGACCGG